GAAUCAGCAUUUCUUCUUCCCCAAAAGUUCUUCUCCUCUAAACCCUUCUUCUCCCCAUUCUUCUCUAUCUCUAAUUCCCCACCUCAAAUCUCUAUCCCAACUCCUUAUUCCUCUCUAUCUCUAUCUCCAUCUUUAUCUCUAUUCCCUCUCUUCUCAUCCCCAUUAUUGGAAAUAUAAAUCUACUAAAAUAAGUAAUUAGUUUGAAUUUUUAUCAGAUCAGUUGUCAAAUUAUUUAAAUCCAAAAAGUUGAAAGAUUGGAGUAAUAAAAUAAAAAUUUUAAAAGAUUAUAUAAUCGAUUUAAAAUGAUCCAUAAUUCAAAUAAUUUAUGUACAUUUGUAUCCUGAUUUUAU
Molecule: long non-coding RNA, 350 nt
Filed under: Ananas comosus (pineapple)
Lineage: Eukaryota; Viridiplantae; Streptophyta; Magnoliopsida; Poales; Bromeliaceae
Description: long non-coding RNA (ACOM_LNC032901)
Source: RNAcentral